AGACCUGGACAUAUCCAUUACCUGAGCAAGAGUGACCUUCAAGCCCAGAAUUGAGGAUACUAGUACUGAUGAAAGGCAACGGCAAGGAGCAUGACAACAUUCUGCUCAAAGUGGGUGGAGAGUAGAUUCCAAUUCUCACAGAGAAGCCGGUCAGAUGCCUGGGGAAGUGGUGUGGCUGCUCACUCUGACGCAGUGAGUGUGAAAAGAACAACAGACCGUGCACCUGGCCGAGUGCAGAGGGUGGAGAAAGGUGGUGUGCCUGUGUAACCUAAGGCAUGGUGCUGGCAGCACACAUUCCUCCUCAAGGUCGUCUAACCCCUUCUAGUGUACAAAUUGAGGUGAGGUGCUGACAUUCCUACUUCAACGAUGGAUCGGAGCUUCCCAAAGCUUCAGGACAAGCUACCCUUCAGAGAUGACAUUGAGGACUGGGACUGCAUGGACAAACAGUCCAGGUCAGCAGUGAUCAAGUUUCACACUGGCUUAAUGUGAUUGGUAGUGGAUGAAGAGGAGUCUCCUUUUUCCACUGGAACAUCACAGCUCUCAUGGUAGGAUUGGUAAGAGUGAAGGAGCACAAAGGAACACUUAUGUUGAAGCUGAUUGUGCCAUGGGAAGAGAGGUUUGAGUAAGCCGAUGAAAACAACUGGAGUACUGCUGAUGAACUGCCAAUCACUUAAGGAUGGGUGUAUGGAGAACAGCUGGACAGCUCAGUGCUUAACAAUGAAAGUGGGAUAAGAACUUUCUAAAGACAGUUGAUACAGGAAAAAAAACUGUAGUAAAGAGGGCAAUAUACAUGACAAUGUGCAAAACUACUAAACAGGAGGAAGUAAGAGGACCAUACUGCAGAGUGUGGAGCACUGGAUUAGGUACUUGGCUCAGACCACAGCAAUAAUAAGAAAGAUGUCCCCUGAUGAGGGGGGGUGGUGGUGGGCAAGAAAAACAAAGGACAAGAUCAUGUGCAACACAGCUGAACAGGAGGAAGAGAGCAUCACACUGGCUUUAGCUGAAGAGUGCAUAACAGUGGAUUAACUACUUGGCUCAGGCCAGACUUGCAAUAACAAAGAUGUCCCCCAAAGAGGGGGGGGUGGUGGUGGGCAAGAAUAAAACCAAAACAUGCCAACAAGUAUUGCUGAAUGGAUUCAAAUUCUUCAAAAAGCCAGUCGGAAACAGUGGAAGGGCAUUGGAUCAGCCAUACAGUUCAUUCUGGGCCUGAUAAACCCAGUCUGUGCAUCCUUCAGAAAGUAUGUGUGAGCACCAGAACAACUACUGAUGAAAGGACCUUAUCUGAGGAUAAAACCAGAGGCAGUGGAGUCAUUCUGGUGUGCACAUUUGAAGGGUGAAUGUAAUUUUUAUUAGGAGGUGAGGGCCGUUUUUUCACAUUGUUUAUGAACCCCCUCCUCCCUACUAGUUUGACAAAAAUAAAGCUUUCAUUUUUCAGUUGAUUUUACUGCAGGAAUGAAAAACUCCUGCAUCACCUGGAUCACAGCAUUAUUUCAGAAAUGAUCUGUAAAUGUAUGUCUACUAAACAUCAAAUGGAGCAAAGACAACAUUGUCUGGCAAUAACAAAGGUUACUGAUAAAAUAUCUUUCCACCUGGCUGACAUCUCUACCUGGAUGGCCAUCCACCACCUGAAGCUCAACCUCAACAAAACUGAGCUGCUGUUCUACCCAUACAAGACCUCCCUA
Long non-coding RNA from Anguilla anguilla (European eel), 1682 nucleotides. RefSeq lists it as uncharacterized. Lineage: Eukaryota; Metazoa; Chordata; Actinopteri; Anguilliformes; Anguillidae. The transcript is spliced from 3 exons. The record is from RefSeq and is a predicted model, not a curated record.